This 1343-nucleotide ribosomal RNA is filed under the name uncultured bacterium. RNAcentral's name for it is "16S ribosomal RNA". It matches the Rfam family "Bacterial small subunit ribosomal RNA", at positions 28 to 1378 of the family's 1533-position model. The record is from RNAcentral.
GACGAACGCUGGCGGCGUGCUUAACACAUGCAAGUCGAACGGAAAGGCCCUGCUUUUGUGGGGUGCUCGAGUGGCGAACGGGUGAGUAACACGUGAGUAACCUGCCCUUGACUUUGGGAUAACCUCAGGAAACUGGGGCUAAUACCGGAUAGGAGCUCCUGCUGCAUGGUGGGGGUUGGAAAGUUUCGGCGGUUGGGGAUGGACUCGCGGCUUAUCAGCUUGUUGGUGGGGUAGUGGCUUACCAAGGCUUUGACGGGUAGCCGGCCUGAGAGGGUGACCGGCCACAUUGGGACUGAGAUACGGCCCAGACUCCUACGGGAGGCAGCAGUGGGGAAUAUUGCACAAUGGGCGGAAGCCUGAUGCAGCAACGCCGCGUGCGGGAUGACGGCCUUCGGGUUGUAAACCGCUUUCGCCUGUGACGAAGCGUGAGUGACGGUAAUGGGUAAAGAAGCACCGGCUAACUACGUGCCAGCAGCCGCGGUGAUACGUAGGGUGCGAGCGUUGUCCGGAUUUAUUGGGCGUAAAGGGCUCGUAGGUGGUUGAUCGCGUCGGAAGUGUAAUCUUGGGGCUUAACCCUGAGCGUGCUUUCGAUACGGGUUGACUUGAGGAAGGUAGGGGAGAAUGGAAUUCCUGGUGGAGCGGUGGAAUGCGCAGAUAUCAGGAGGAACACCAGUGGCGAAGGCGGUUCUCUGGGCCUUUCCUGACGCUGAGGAGCGAAAGCGUGGGGAGCGAACAGGCUUAGAUACCCUGGUAGUCCACGCUGUAAACGGUGGGUACUAGGUGUGGGGUCCAUUCCACGGGUUCCGUGCCGUAGCUAACGCUUUAAGUACCCCGCCUGGGGAGUACGGCCGCAAGGCUAAAACUCAAAGGAAUUGACGGGGCCCCGCACAAGCGGCGGAGCAUGCGGAUUAAUUCGAUGCAACGCGUAGAACCUUACCUGGGUUUGACAUGGAUCGGGAGUGCUCAGAGAUGGGUGUGCCUCUUUUGGGGUCGGUUCACAGGUGGUGCAUGCCUGUCGUCAGCUCGUGUCGUGAGAUGUUGGGUUAAGUCCCGCAACGAGCGCAACCCUUGUUCACUGUUGCCAGCACGUUAUGGUGGGGACUCAGUGGAGACCGCCGGGGUCAACUCGGAGGAAGGUGGGGAUGACGUCAAGUCCUCAUGCCCCUUAUGUCCAGGGCUUCACGCAUGCUACAAUGGCUGGUACAGAGAGUGGCGAGCCUGUGAGGGUGAGCGAAUCUCGGAAAGCCGGUCUCAGUUCGGAUUGGGGUCUGCAACUCGACCUCAUGAAGUCGGAGUCACUAGUAAUCGCAGAUCAGCAACGCUGCGGUGAAUACGUUCCCGGG